This 124-nucleotide small RNA is filed under the name Marmota monax (woodchuck). The record is from RNAcentral. Lineage: Eukaryota; Metazoa; Chordata; Mammalia; Rodentia; Sciuridae.
GCUGGGCAUGUGGUGCAUGCCUGUAAUUCCAAUGGCUUGGGAGGCUGAGGCAGGAGGAUCUCGAGUUUAAAGCCAGCCUCAGCAAAAGUGAGGCUCUAAGGAACUCAGUGAGACCCUGUCUCUA